Small nucleolar RNA from Tachyglossus aculeatus (Australian echidna), 137 nucleotides. The record is from RefSeq and is a predicted model, not a curated record. NCBI's taxonomy places the organism in Eukaryota, Metazoa, Chordata, Mammalia, Monotremata, Tachyglossidae.
CCCCUCUCAGGAUUGCCCUGGAGAAUUUCCGGUACUCUACCAGUCUCGGCUAUGGGAGGGAGAGUCCAGGAGAGGUCUACCCAUCCCAUUCCUAGCUUGGGCAGUGGCUAGCGAGUGGAAGGCAAUCUGCUACAAGU